This is a long non-coding RNA of Eleginops maclovinus (Patagonian blennie), 2027 nucleotides long. RefSeq lists it as uncharacterized. NCBI's taxonomy places the organism in Eukaryota, Metazoa, Chordata, Actinopteri, Perciformes, Eleginopidae. The transcript has 4 exons. The record is from RefSeq and is a predicted model, not a curated record.
AGCUGCAGGCUCGGAGAAAAGAAAAGAAAAAGACACGAGUACGCGCAUGCCAUAGCAACAGAAGGUAACUUUCCCUCGGGCUACAUGCCACUUGAACCCCGAGAAGUUAAGAGAAUCGUGGCAGAGUGUUGAAGAAAUGCAGCCUCUGUCCUCCGUGGAAUCGUCGACUUUUAGAAAGCUUGUCAGCAAAAUCCCCGUUAACAAACCAAUGAAAAGGACUCUGAGAAGCUCCAGAGACAGAUUUGACCUGAUGGGACAAGCUCGACUUUGCCCUCUCAACCUUUACGGAGACCUUUGGGACUGAGAGCUCUGCUACAGUGUACACUUUUUUUCCAAGUAUAUUUGAGAGAUGUUGCAAAGAGAAACAGAGAAAUACAGCGACCAAGAGGCCGAGGAGCACCAGGAGGAGGAAUCUGCGGAUACUGCUGCUGUGAACCAUGGUGGCUGCGAGGAACGAGAUGUGCGUCUCCGAAACUCCUCAAACUUCAAACGAGUAGCUGACCCUGGAAGAGGAGCAGGAGAAGAGUACAGGGGAGCGCAGCAGGGGGAGAGGUAGGCUACUGAGGGGUGAGAGAAGGGGUGGGACUAGGUGUGCACAGGACUGUCUGGACAGUGUGGACUUUGUGAGCACAUCAUCGCAGGGCCCACCCACUCCACACUCCUCCGGCUACAUAGUUGGGUGUUCGGUGUAAACAUUCAGUGACCGCUGACCUUGGACAGGUCACAUCAAGAAGGUCCCAGCAAAGAAACUUUUAAAACGGCAAUGAUGGAGGAAGUAUAGAGAUGUCAAACUCUGAAAGGAUUAGUAGCAGAAAUCUGCAAUUUCAAAAGAGAUAUAGAAUGAAUUGCACUGCAAUAUAUUAUUGGAUUAUCGUACCUGAUGCAUAGGGUUGUACCGAAUGACAACUUUUUUUUACAAAGCUUAUAUUUAGGUAAAUAAAUAAAUAAAACAUUUUCAUCUUUAUUGAUGUCAUUGCCCUUAAAAGAAGUGUGUAUUUGGAAUCAACUUUCUAAAAGAACAGUGCAAGCGGCAAGCUAGAUGGCAAGCGCAGUAAAACGUGUUUAUUUUCCUUUAAAAGGCUUAACAAAAAACAUUUGGGCAAUUGUAAGGAUACCUUUUAUCUUGUUCUAUACAUUUUUACUUAUGGACUGUACCAGGCUUUAGAGUUUUGAAACCGUUGGAUUGCACGAGAAACAAUCCUACACAGCCACAACUGGAAACUAAUACUGGUGAUAUUAGUAGUAUUCGGUACAGUCCUGCUGAUGCAACAUCUAAAAAAACUUUUCAAAGAGGGUGCUCCAGCAUGUGAGUAUUGGAUUUCUAAAAAGCAGGGGAACUCAGAAGAAACAGAUUAUAGCCUAAUAAACAUGAUCAUAUUAAAGUAAUAGGAUUUGAAAAAACGUCAGUCUACAGUGUGGGAUCAGGCUACGAAAGGGUGGGUCAUACAUCCCAUCAUCACUAUAGCUGUGAAAGAAUUGAAAUCAAAAUGACAAGAUUUGCCAUUAAAAUAAAGUGCAGAUUCCCCCAUUAAUAUAGUACUUAAAAUAAUAUACACCCUUUAGCCUAUGCUCUUAAGUCAAGGGUGUAUUUCAGCUAGAUAGCACUUAGUUCUAGAAAAUAAGGGUGUUGUGUUUUGCGAAGUGACGUUUUGAUAACAAUCUGUUUGCAUGGCGAGAAAGAUGUGGCUUUUCUUUAGAAGAAAUUCUCUUUUUGUGGAUUUGAAAAACACCAUGACUAAUAAAAUGUCAAAGUGGACCACAACUUUAUAGGAGGUUGCACUUUCAAUUAUUGGAAAGUUAUCUGUAUUAGCAUCUCCUUUCUGUUUGACACAAACACCUGAAACAUAGAAAUAACAGUGGGAAAGGCCUGUUACAUAAUUACUCAUCUAAUGAUAUGUGACCUGUGAAUGCUGAUACAGCUAUUCAUUUCCAGCUCAUUAAAAUGUAGUGUGACCGGGUGAGUGUGUGUAACUUAAGGAACACGCACAAAUGUGUUGUUUUCUGAGUAGUUCAGACACAGGUGUGAA